This 244-nucleotide long non-coding RNA is filed under the name Glycine max (soybean). RNAcentral describes it as "long non-coding RNA (GMAX_LNC002968)". Lineage: Eukaryota; Viridiplantae; Streptophyta; Magnoliopsida; Fabales; Fabaceae. The record is from RNAcentral.
AGGGAGAGAGGGUUGCUUCUACGCAACGUGGGGAGGAGGAGGAGAGUUUAAUUCUUGAUGUAAUCUUGCUUUUGCUGUUGCUUUUGGUUUUGGAAACAAAGAAAUUAAGACAAACCAUACCCACCCUGCAGCUUCAAUUCUAAUUCAAGCUUUCUCACGAGCGUUUUUCCAAUUUCUUGUACCCUUUAAACGUGACUUCCUUGUGGCUUCUGCUUACUGCUAAUUAACACUCGUAGAAGGUAGA